This 67-nucleotide transfer RNA is filed under the name Melaenornis chocolatinus (Abyssinian slaty-flycatcher). RNAcentral's name for it is "tRNA-Cys". Lineage: Eukaryota; Metazoa; Chordata; Aves; Passeriformes; Muscicapidae. The record is from RNAcentral.
GGCCCUGUGGUGAAGUUCAUGGUGAGUUGCAAGCUCAUUGAUGUGUGUUGAUUGCGCACCAGGGUCU